UUUCCGUAGGUGAACCUGCGGAAGGAUCAUUAUUGGAUUUUGAAACUUCAGGCUGCCGCUGGCUCUCCUCGGAGGGCAUGUGCACGCUUGUUGUCCAUUAUUUCUCCCACUGUGCACAAAUUGUAGACCUUUCAGUAGGCCUAUGUUGUUUUUCACAAUCUCUGAAUGUAAUAGAAUGGUUUUGAAUCUUGGGAAAUACAAUACAACUUUCAGCAACGGAUCUCUUGGCUCUC
RNAcentral lists this unclassified non-coding RNA (233 nucleotides) under plant metagenome. RNAcentral's name for it is "partial contains small subunit ribosomal RNA, internal transcribed spacer 1, and 5.8S ribosomal RNA". The record is from RNAcentral.